GGGUCAGUAGGUUGGUCGUGCCACCGGUACGUACUGGUCUCACUGAUUCCUCCUUCCUGAGGAACCGUAAUGCCAUUAAUUUGGUGUUGCGGGGAAACAGGACUGUUACUUUGAAAAAAUUAGAGUGUUUAAAGCAAGCUAACGCUUGAAUACAUUAGCAUGGAAUAAUGAAAUAGGACGAUCGAUCCUAUUUUGUUGGUUACUAGGAUUGACGUA
RNAcentral lists this ribosomal RNA (216 nucleotides) under Glomeromycotina sp. Its description in RNAcentral is "partial small subunit ribosomal RNA". The stretch from base 40 to 216 matches the Rfam family "Eukaryotic small subunit ribosomal RNA", at positions 686 to 864 of the family's 1831-position model. Lineage: Eukaryota; Fungi; Glomeromycota. The record is from RNAcentral.